ACGAACGCUGGCGGCAUGCCUAAUACAUGCAAGUCGAACGCUGAAGCACCCUGCUUGCAGAGUGCGGAUGAGUGGCGAACGGGUGAGUAACACGUGGGGAAUCUGCCUAUAAGUGGGGGAUAACAUUCGGAAACGGAUGCUAAUACCGCAUAUAUUCUUGGACCGCCUGGUCCUUGAAAGAAAGACGGCUUUGCUGUCGCUUAUAGAUGAUCCCGCGGCGUAUUAGUUAGUUGGUGGGGUAAAGGCCUACCAAGACAAUGAUACGUAGCCGACCUGAGAGGGUGAUCGGCCACACUGGGACUGGGACGCGGCCCAGACUCCUACGGGAGGCAGCAGUAGGGAAUCUUCCACAAUGGGCGAAAGCCUGAUGGAGCAAUGCCGCGUGAAUGAAGAAGGUCUUCGGAUCGUAAAGUUCUGUUAUUAGAGAAGAACAAGUCAAGGAAUAACUGUCUUGACUUUGACGGUACCUAACCAGAAAGUCACGGCUAACUACGUG
This 496-nucleotide ribosomal RNA is filed under the name uncultured bacterium. Its description in RNAcentral is "partial 16S ribosomal RNA". It matches the Rfam family "Bacterial small subunit ribosomal RNA", at positions 29 to 507 of the family's 1533-position model. The record is from RNAcentral.